GAUGAACGCUGGCGGCGUGCCUAAUACAUGCAAGUCGAGCGAACAGAUGAGGAGCUUGCUCCUCUGACGUUAGCGGCGGACGGGUGAGUAACACGUGGAUAACCUACCUAUAAGACUGGGAUAACUUCGGGAAACCGGAGCUAAUACCGGAUAAUAUAUUGAACCGCAUGGUUCAAUAGUGAAAGACGGUUUUGCUGUCACUUAUAGAUGGAUCCGCGCCGCAUUAGCUAGUUGGUAAGGUAACGGCUUACCAAGGCAACGAUGCGUAGCCGACCUGAGAGGGUGAUCGGCCACACUGGAGCUGAGACACGGUCCAGACUCCUACGGGAGGCAGCAGUAGGGAAUCUUACGCAAUGGGCGAAAGCCUGACGGAGCAACGCCGCGUGAGUGAUGAAGGUCUUCGGAUCGUAAAACUCUGUUAUUAGGGAAGAACAAAUGUGUAAGUAACUAUGCACGUCUUGACGGUACCUAAUCAGAAAGCCACGGCUAACUACGUG
RNAcentral lists this ribosomal RNA (497 nucleotides) under uncultured bacterium. RNAcentral's name for it is "partial 16S ribosomal RNA". It matches the Rfam family "Bacterial small subunit ribosomal RNA", at positions 28 to 507 of the family's 1533-position model. The record is from RNAcentral.